AAUCAAAACUUUCAACAACGGAUCUCUUGGUUCUGGCAUCGAUGAAGAACGCAGCGAAAUGCGAUAAGUAAUGUGAAUUGCAGAAUUCAGUGAAUCAUCGAAUCUUUGAACGCACAUUGCGCCCGCCAGCAUUCUGGCGGGCAUGCCUGUUCGAGCGUCAUUUCAACCCUCGACUUCCCUCGGGGAAAUCGGCGUUGGGGAACGGCAGCAUACCGCCGUCCCCGAAAUGGAGUGGCGGCCCGUCCGCGGCGACCUCUGCGUAGUAAUCCAACUCGCACCGGAACCCCGACGUGGCCACGCCGUAAAACACCCAACUUCUGAACGUUGACCUCGGAUCAGGUAGGAAUACCCGCUGAACUUAAGCAUAUCAAUAAGCGGAGGAAAAGAAACCAACAGGGAUUGCCCCAGUAACGGCGAGUGAAGCGGCAACAGCUCAAAUUUGAAAUCUGGCCCUUCGGGUCCGAGUUGUAAUUUGUAGAGGAUGCUUUUGGCGAGGUGCCUUCGAGUUCCCUGGAACGGACGCCAUAGAGGGUGAGAGCCCCGUCUGGUCGGACACCGAGCCUCUGUAAAGCCCUUCGACGAGUCGAGUAGUUUGGGAAUGCUGCUCAAAAUGGGAGGUAUAUGUCUUCUAAAGCUAAAUAUUGGCCAGAGACCGAUAGCGCACAAGUAGAGUGAUCGAAAGAUGAAAAGCACUUUGAAAAGAGGGUUAAAAAGUACGUGAAAUUGUUGAAAGGGAAGCGCCUAUGACCAGACUUGGGCCCGGUGAAUCAUCCAGCGUUCUCGCUGGUGCACUUUGCCGGGCACAGGCCAGCAUCAGUUUGGCGCGGGGGAAAAAGGUUCUUGGGAAUGUGGCUCCCUCGGGAGUGUUAUAGCCCAUUGCGUAAUACCCUGCGCCGGACUGAGGUACGCGCAUUGCAAGGAUGCUGGCGUAAUGGUCAUCUGCGACCCGUCUUGAAACACGGACCAAGGAGUCUAUGCGAGUGUUCGGGUGUCAAACCCCUACGCGUAAUGAAAGUGAACGCAGGUGAGAGCUUCGGCGCAUCAUCGACCGAUCCUGAUGUUCUCGGAUGGAUUUGAGUAAGAGCAUACCUGUUGGGACCCGAAAGAUGGUGAACUAUGCCUGAAUAGGGUGAAGCCAGAGGAAACUCUGGUGGAGGCUCGUAGCGGUUCUGACGUGCAAAUCGAUCGUCAAAUUUGGGUAUAGGGGCGAAAGACUAAUCGAACCAUCUAGUAGCUGGUUCCUGCCGAAGUUUCCCUCAGGAUAGCAGAAACUCAGUUUUAUGAGGUAAAGCGAAUGAUUAGGGACUCGGGGGCCAUAUUGCCUUCAUCCAUUCUCAAACUUAAAUAUGUAAGAAGCCCUUGUUACUUAAUUGAACGUGGGCAUUCGAAUGUAUCAACACUAGUGGGCCAUUUUUUGGUAAGCAGAACUGGCGAUGCGGGAUGAACCGAACGCGAGGUUAAGGUGCCGGAGUGGACGCUCAUCAGACACCACAAAAGGUGUUAGUACAUCUUGACAGCAGGACGGUGGCCAUGGAAGUCGGAAUCCGCUAAGGACUGUGUAACAACUCACCUGCCGAAUGUACUAGCCCUGAAAAUGGAUGGCGCUCAAGCGUCCCACCCAUACCUCGCCCUCAGGGUAGAAACGAAGCCCUGAGGAGUAGGCGGACGUGGAGGUCAGUGACGAAGCCUAGGGCGUGAGCCCGGGUCGAACGGCCUCUAGUGCAGAUCUUGGUGGUAGUAGCAAAUACUUCAAUGAGAACUUGAAGGACGGAAGUGGAGAAAGGUUCCAUGUGAACAGCAGUUGGACAUGGGUUAGUCGAUCCUAAGUCAUAGGAAGUUCCCUCCGUUUCAAAGGAUAACUCUGCGCCGUGUGGCGAAAGGGAAGCCGGUUAAUAUUCCGGCACCUGAAUGUGGGUUUUGCGCGGCAACGCAACUGAACGCGGAGACGACGGCGGGAGCCCCGAGCAGAGUUCUCUUUUUCUUCUUAACGGUCUAUCACCCUGAAAUCGGUUUAUCCGGAGCUAGGGUUUAAUGGCCGGAAGAGCCCAGCACCUCUGCUGGGUUCGGUGCGCUCGACGUCCCUUGAAAAUCCGCGGAAGGAAUAAUUCUCACGUCAGGUCGUACUCAUAACCCGCAGCAGGUCUCCAAGGUGAACAGCCUCUGGUUGAUAGAACAAUGUAGAUAAGGGAAGUCGGCAAAAUAGAUCCGUAACUCGGGAUAAGGAUUGGCUCUAAGGGUUGGGUACGUUGGGCUUUGGAAGGA
Caerostris darwini is the source of this 2262-nucleotide non-coding RNA. NCBI's taxonomy places the organism in Eukaryota, Metazoa, Arthropoda, Arachnida, Araneae, Araneidae. The record is from the annotation of a GenBank genome assembly.